Molecule: non-coding RNA, 12310 nt
Organism: Rattus norvegicus (Norway rat)
Lineage: Eukaryota; Metazoa; Chordata; Mammalia; Rodentia; Muridae
Source: RefSeq, a predicted model, not a curated record
UGUUCAGGAUUUGGUUCUCCCCUUCCACCAUGUGGGUCCUGGGAACUGAACUCAGGUGGUCAGGCUUAGCAGCAGGUAGGUGUCUUUCCUCUCUUGGCCAUCUUGUUAGUCUCUGUGUCUAAUGUUUGUAUAUUUAUGUCUUGGUUAUGACUCUCUGCGGAGAAAAUGUCUUAUUGAGGAAUUAUGCCUAUCUCAUGAGACUGAAUGAGUCAAAGGCAGAACGUCUGCUUUCCAGCUUACAGACAUAAAGCCAGUGCAGUGUCACAGCUCUAUCCUUGACCAGACAGACACGGAAGUCUGAAUGAUCAGGCACCAUGUGCAUUCUCAUCCCCUCUGCUACAUGACUGGAAACAUUUGUAGCUACGUGGACUGCCCCAGCUUUGCUUGUUAUGGACAGGAAGAGUGGCUGCCAUCUUCAUUGUCCGUAGGCAAGAGGUGAGCUCCCUGAAAUGUUGGUGCUCCUGCCUGUACCUUUACAAACUGUUCAAAACAAAUGGAUUGCAGCUGUUGCGUUAUUAAAAUCAAAACUGUGCAAAUGAAGAAACCCCUCAUAUGGGACCUUGCAAAUAAACACAGGAAAGGCAGAGGACUGUCUAUAGGGAAGAGUGUUUGUUGGCGUUUACUACAGGAUAAAAUCAACUGGUGAUCCUUGGGUGUGUGUUUCUUAUGUGUGACCCAAAGGAAUAAAAAGAAAUGUAUUGGCAGCUGGAGAUAUGGCUCAGCACUUAAGAACUACUCUUGCAGAGGACCCAGAUUUAGUUCUCAGCACUGACAUGGCAUCCAUAACCAUCUACAGUCUUAGUUUCAGGGGAUCUAAUGCCCUCUGAUGGCCUCCUCAGGUCCUGCAUGCAUGUGAUGCCUUUAUUUAUGUGCAGGUGAAUAUACAUGCAUAAACAUACCAUUGAAAAAUAAAAUAGCCAGUCAAUAAAUGAACACUAUUAGUUUAUUUUGUUCCAGGAAGGAUACAUUGACAAAGGGCAGCUUCAUGGAGAGUCAGUGUGAUUGUUUCAAGAAACAACAUAAGCUUCGCACCAUAGCUGCUCUCUAGAUAGUCCUCAUCUCAGAACUGUCUCUAAGACUACGCCUGCAUUCCCCUAUCCAACAUCACACCAACAUUGAAUGAAUUCAUUUCCAGGGAGACCUUAUUUAUCACAAUGGAAAACGGCUCAUCUACCCAAGGUCACCGCUCAAAUUGAAACCUGAAACACAUCUAUAAGUGAGUCGCUGUCUCAGAGCCAAGUCUUCUGACAAGGCCAGGGCGACCUGCCCAGAGGUGGAACUGCACAUGGAUCAAGUAAAUGUCUCACAGACUUGCCCAGAGCCCAGUCUGACAGGAGAAGGAGCCAUUUAUGUGCGUUUGAAGUCCAGGAGGAAAAGGGUCAGAAACACAGGCAAGCAUGCAAGCUGGUGUGCACCGCUCUCUGUGUCUGUUUAUUAUGGCCGUCAGGCCUCCCAGGGAAACCAACACACAGUUGGCUGGAGAAGCCACAGCUGAAUACACUCAGGCGAGGAUUCCUGGGAGCCAUCAUUUCCACUGUAGGUUGAAAGUCAGAUAUUUUGUGUGGCUCUCAGCUCCUAGUUGCUUCUUGCUUUUUGAAAAAGAGGAAGUCAACAAAAUGAGCAAGUUAUUUCCAAGUGGAGUGCCUUCCUCCAGCUCAGAGGUCUAUGGAAAUUACAAAGUCCAGGGAAAGGAGCCUUGUUCAGAAGUUCCAAAUGUUCUUGGAGUGGUUUUUACCAGUCCUGAAAGAGCCCCACGUGACUCACGGAGCAGGACUGGAAUAGCCCCACGUGACCCAUAGAGCUAUCACCAAGUUACCUUAUUUGAGACUUUUAAUCCAAGCAGUUUAUAAACACAGGAUGCUUUCCAAAAGUGUUCCUCCCUUUCUCUCCCAUUUAUGGAAACAAAAGCAAAUGUUUUACAAGGGCAGAGACACUGAACUCUUCUUCUUUUGCUGGAUGCCUGAGGAGCCCUGGGAAAGUAUGGAGUAGGUAGAGAGGGAGGAAGAAACUGGACCCUGGCCAAGCUGGCCCUGCUGCUUAAUGGUGCCCCAGAUGUCUGAAGCAGCCUCAACAGAUGGGCCAGCGCUCUUUGUUUGAAUUUGAAAUUAUAAGUAGAAACAUAAGGCAGAUGUUUGCCUCCCUCAAAGGGAAGAAUAUUAAGAAGGAAGGCAUUUAGAGAAUAAGGAAGCCAAAGCCAUUGUCCUAACUUGCAUUGAAGUUUCUCAUUCAAAUCCCCAUUAGGAAACUGCCCCUCUCUAGUCAGAAGUUAGGGCCAUCGCUACCUUCUUUUGAUGGUUAAUGUAAGCUACCAACGUGGUUCGAUUAGUCAUCUAAGAGGCAUUCCUCUGGGCAUGACUAUAAGAGCAUUACUAGAGAUUUUUAACUGAAUACAAACCUACCAUGAUUGGGGGGCUCGGGACUAUCCAGAGUCUGGGGCUCUAAAUGGAAGUAGGCAAGAAAAUGAGCUGAGUACGAGCAUUCAUUUCUUCCUGCUUCCUGACUGCGGAUGCGCUGUGACCAGCUGCUUCAAGUCAAUGACCACAGCGCUCUCUCUACCCCAGACAGCCUUCCAUGUCAAAAUAAACUCCUUUUCCUUAGGGUGUUUUCAUCAUAGUGAUGGGAAAAAGAAAGAUAACCAAUACAUUGACCUUGUUUGUGGGUGACAGAGGAGACCCUCUGCCAAUUCGAUCUUGGGUUGACACCCUGGAGAGAUUUUCUAAAAGGAUAGUGUGCCCUCCUUUGGCUAACAACACACUGUAGAAACAGUAGGAAUUGAACCUUGGUGGUCAGGCCUGGUGGAAAGGACCCUUUACCCACCGAGUCAUUUUGCUGGCCCAGGGUGUGGAUUUCAGAGGUUAAUAAAUAAGAUCAAGACAGAGUGGCAUCGUUGUGGGUUAGCAAUGAGGCCUCUCUUAAAAAGAACUCCUGGAGGUCUUGCAUGGGCCCCUCUCUUCCCAACAGGCAGACUACUCUGAUUGCUAAAUGAAUUCUUCAGGGUCUAACAUGACAAAAUCUUUAUUGUUUUAAUGAGCGAGUCUUGGGUCUUUUGAUUCCAAUAGCGUCUGCAGAUGUAGGCUGUGGGAGUUUAUGUACUGCCUCAGGAGUGGUACUGUACCAAGCUCUGGCCUGCAGCUUGAUUCUGCUUGAGGGUACAGAUUCCUGUGAUCUUCCUCCAUUCACUUCAGAGAAAAGGCGAGCUGUAAAGCUGUUUUCAGAAAGACUACAGGAUGCUGGGACCACAGACCUAGUACGGUAUCUCUCAAGAUGACAGGAUCCCUAAGAGGUGGGAAUGACUAUGUCAAAGUUGGCUGUGCUUUAUACCUGGUGCACAGGUUUGUUCUCCAACACCAUACACGAUACAUCCUUCCUCUUUAUGGUAGUGCUGCCUCUGGACCCCACUUGACACUUCUUGGUGGUCCACUGAGGUUGAACUUGCUUUGAGACACAUUCUUCUUCUCCCUCCUGAUGUUCAGACUUGACUGGACCAUCAAAAGGCAGUUGCUUUACCCGUUCAUCCUUUCUCCAGACCAUCUUAUGAGAUCUGGCACUUUUCCUCUUGCUUGGCUAAAUGAUGACUGGACAAGGACAUCACAUCCAGUUCAGCAGAGUACAGGACUUUCCACUUGUUCCAGAAAAGAGGUGGGGAAAUAAUCCUACUCUCUUUGUUCUAGGUAAUUUUUAUCUCAAAAAAUUGUGUGUGUGUGUGUGUGUGUGUGUGUGUGUGUGUGUGUGUGUGUGUGCAUGUGGUGUUGGGUAAGGAUCGAGCUGAGUGUGAUGUCUUUGGGACAAGGAGAAGUACAUGACUCCCAUCUAGAAGGUUCAAUAAAGGCAUAAUCUGAGAGGUUAUUUCAUGCCAGACUCUUGAGAAAGAUGACAGAGAGCCAAGCACGUAGCACACCACAGUAGCACACAGCAGGGAGCAUUCCCUGCCUUGACUAGCAGAAGAAAAAUGAGAUGUUGUUGCACAAGGUCCUUUUGGAGUGAGAGUUAGAACACUGGGGAGUACGGUUUGCACUCCCCAGGAAGCAGCCAGGAAAGACUCAGCCUUAGAAUUCGAGUGUGGUUCUCGGAGACAAUGUUAAGCACCGGGCCACUUACUUGCUUAUAUCCCAGCUGUGGGAUUGCCAGUGACCACCCAUUUUACAUGACUAGAUGGCGGUUGCCAUAAGAAGCUAACAAAUCCUGAUGCAAGGGGCAGCUAGCAUGCCACUCCAGUGUCUCCCUCCCUCCUUGUGGGUUAUCUUCCAUCCCAGAAUAAAUCCUGAAAAUUUCAGUCUCCCAAUCUCAGCUGAAGCAUCGCCGUGAUAUGCUUCUCUACAAUCAGCUAAGAUCUAAUAACAACGACUAUAAAAUAUCAAGUAUCCAUAAACUGCUUGCUACAAAAACCAUGAGGAACUUUGGAGAGAUGGCUUAGUGGUUAGGAGCCCUGGCUACUCUUGUUAGAGGACUGAGGUUCAAUUCUCAGCACCCACAUGAUGGCUCACACCAUCUGUAACUAGUUUCAGAGAAAUCGAAUGCCCUCUUCUGGAUGCUCUUGGUACCAGGUGUGUGAGUGGUACACAGGCAUACAGGUAGGCAAAAGACCCUACACAUAAACAAAAUAAAAUAAAAUAAUAAGAAACUAAGGAAUCAAGAAUGGGCAGGGUGAACGUGGGGAACAUGGGUAAUAAAAACAUUGAAUCUUGAUAGAAAUUCUGAAGUAACUUAAACAACAGAACCUGUGUUGAGCUGGAUUCUGAGUGAAGAUUGAUGGCUAGAGACAGGGGCAUUACUUGUGUCCCAGGUAGACAGAAAUUCAUGAAUCUGAAGCCUCCAGAUGUAAGAAGUAAACAGAGGGCUGGCUCUGGAAAGAGUCACGUUCUCCAUGACUUACUUGUGUGUGGGCCUUGGUGAUACAGGAUUGUUAGGAGAACAGCUCUUAGAAUGAUCGUAGAAUCAUUCACCUGAAGUUGACUACGCCAGUCCACUCACAGUGCGAGAAUGGCUGAUUGCAAGGCUGUGGGAAACUCUAAUUAUUAGGAGGCAAAUUGAUUUACUGUCCUCACAAAUGUGUCUCCUCCUUGUAACUUCUCAGGAUGAGAAAUGACUCUUUGAGAGGAAAAAAAAUAGAGCUUUCCUCAGCAUGCAAAGGGUGAACCAGGAGCGGAUUAGUGAAGGGCAACUACAUCAGAGAGAGCCCGGAGCCAAGGGCAGUCACGUUACCCAACACUGCCACCAGAGCGCUCGCUCUGGUUCUAAUGAUUUAUUCAGCAUUUGAAACAUCCAGCUCUCUUCAAAUAUUUAUAACACUUCCUGGUUGCUUUGAGGCUUUUAAUAGGGCAGAAUAAAUCUGUAAGUAUUGAAAAAUUGUCAGCAAAUGGGCCAUAGUGUGAAUAACCGAAACGCAAGCUGUAAGGCUGUAGCCAUUUGCUUUAUUUUGGCCAGAGAAAAAUGUUGCAAUAAUCUUUUCCCAGCAUCACUGCUUUGGAUGAGUUUGCCUCUGAGUUUCAUUAAUCAGGGGCUCUUUAAUUACGUGAUAAAACUCCAUUGACAGGAUGAUGCUCUGUCCACUCAGCAAAAUGUUAAGAGAGCUGAUAUUUGUCUUUCUCUGUGUGCUGUUCUCACUCAGCCCAAGGCCUUGAUGGUGCCCUAAAGUCAAGGAGGGUUUCCCCUCAUCAGUCCGACCUCUUUGGAAAGAUCCUUGCAGGUGUAUGUCUCCUAAGUCUACUUAAGUUGAUGAAGAUUGGAGAUUGUCCCUCCACUGUGUGUGCCCCUCUGUCUCUAAUUCAUGUGCUUCGCAGGAUGACUGACCAUGUGACCGUCUUCGGGUCAGUCGGAAUGCAGAAUGCCCAUAGUUACUGUUCUGUUUCUUCUAACAUUCACCUUUCUAUAACUUUCCCACAUGGCUAAGGCACUACUACUCAGCUUGGGGGAAAAUAUAAUCUCCUUCAAUCUUACCCCCAUCUUGUCUUUAAGUCAUUGACUUAGUUAUGUCUCUUUUCCCACCCCUACAGAACUUGAUGAAAGAGAUACCUUGUCUUAACUGUGGAUCUAUUUGCAUCCCUUUCUUUCUGUGUUUGUGGGUCUGUGUGUCUCUCUGUCUCUCCCUUCGUGUUCUCUCUCUCUCUCUCUCUCUCUCUCUCUCUCUCUCUCUCUCUCUCUCUCUCUGUGUGUGUGUGUGUGUUUUGUAUAUAUGGGGUUUAUUAGGAUGGCUUACAGACUAUGGCCCAGCUAGUCUAACAAUGGCUGUCUAGCAACAGAAGGUCCAAGAAUUAAGUAGCUGGUCAGUUCACGAGGCCGGGUGUCUCAGCUUGUCUUUAGUAUACACCAGAAUCUUGAAGAAGAAGUAGACUCUAAUGCCAGUGCAGGAAGAGACUUGCCAGUGACAGGGAGACAGAAGGCAGGCAGGAAGGUAUUGGGAGCACUUUCCCCCUUCUUAUACGUCCUUUAUAUAGGCUGCCAGCAGAGGAUGGCCUAGAUUAAAGGUGCAUCUUCCCAUCUCAAAAGAUCUGGAUUUUAAAUGUGAGUCUUCCUACCUCAAAUGGUUUCACGAAGAAAACUCCCUUACAGAUGUACCCAGAAGCUCGGGUUUUAGUUAAUUCUAGAUGUAGUGACCUCGACAACCAAGAACAUUCAUUACAACUAUAGAAUGUCUGUUUGCUCUGCUCUCUCUUGGUUCCCUAAAUGCUGGCACUCCACCUCACCUGCUGUGCGGAUUGUGCUUGCUCCCUCCUGAUCAGGAAUGACUGCGUACCUCUCUACUAAGGUCCAGAAUAUGUGUCUAGUACCCUUCUCUGCAAGUGAUUGUUUUAUUCUGUUGUAUUCCUUCCUAAUUAGUAAAUGUGUGUGGUGGUUUGAAUAUACUUGGCCCAUGGGAAGUGGUACUGUUAGGAGGCGUGGCCCUGUUGGAGGAAGCCUGUCACUGUGGGGUGGGCUUAGGAGGUCUCCUUUUUUGUUCAGGCUCCACCCAUUGUGAAAGGGAGCUAAACCUCUGAAAGUGUAAGCCAGCCCCAAUUAAAUAUUUGUCUGUAUAAGAUUUGCCUUGGUCAUCAUGUCUCUUCACAGCAAUAGGACCUCUAACUCAGACAAUGUGCAUAUGCUAUUUUAAUCAGUCAAAAUUCUGUUUCUUUACCCCAACACUCCAUGUGUCUCUGGACCCCACUGGACAGUAGGAGCUAUCAUGCAGUGUCUACCACAGCUGGUUGCUAUUCUGUGCUUGCUAGGAAGCAUUUUGCUUCGAUGCUUCUCACUAUGUCUCUGGAACAAACUCUUAUUGACUCUGUUGUGUAGAGAAAGGAGGAGAGCACCAGAGUGGAGAAGGUUCCAUAGGGUCCUCAGUCACAAAGACAGCCAAUAGUGGAGCCAUGAUGCAAUGUGGGAAACCUAGAGGCAGAGGGAGUCUAAGCUCUUAAUGAUUAGACUUGGUCUAUGAUCUAAAUAUUUGUCUUUCUACUCUGUUGUUGUUGUUGUUGUUCCAGGCAUUAGCAAAUGUUAAACACCUAGAGAUAUGUAAAAACUGAUCAAAUUUGAUUAAACCUAUACCAUAGGCAAUAGUACUUUAUAAAAUCAUUUUCCUGAUUUUGAUGAUAUAUUUCAGUUACAUACCUUAUUCUCAUUCAAAGAAGACAGAUGGGGGUGUAGGGGAAUCUUCAGAACUAUUGUUUCACAUCCUUAGUGUCUAUAACUCUUUCAAAAUUAAAAAUUAAAAAUACCAAAUUUGUUUUUUAUGGUUUCUCCACUGGGGUCUCCCUGCCUUUUAUGUGGAAUUCUUUAGCUUGUGGUAGUUAGGGAGACUUUUCUUCACUUCUGCCCCUCAUCUGCCUGGGGUUUCCCAUCCCUGUUACCCAGAAGAAUGAUGCCUGUAUUCAAAGCUUUGGCUCCAGGCUAGAUAGGGUGGAAUCCACAGUUUAUAAAGUAGCUUCAACUUUCAAUAUACCCUCAUUUUAAUAUUUCAGGUAUCAUCUAGCAAAGAACCAGGUCAAGAGAAAAAAACCAUCAAUAUGAGGUGUGGAGUAUUUUUUGUUUUUGUUUUUGUUUUGUUUUGUUUUUAACAUGAGGGACAGUAAUUCCUAGGCUGGUUGUAUCCAGAAGUCAUGUGCGUUGAGGUUUGGUCUGUUGUAUGUAUUAUAAUGCUAAACUCUAUUCCCAAACUCUAGGUUUCUCAUGUUUACAAGCUUUUGCUGUGCAAACCUUGUUCCUUGAUUUAAAACAAUUGGUUAAAUAAAGUGGGCUACAGUGAAACCACUGGAAGGAUUAGAGGUAGGUAGGCUUGGAGUGACUUGACUGGGUGAGAGAAAGGAGACAGGAGAGGAAGGAGGAAGAGGGAGAGAGGGAAAGAGGGAGAGGGGGGGGGAGGCCAUGAGGGGAGAUGGAUGAUGAGCCCAUGGCCGGAGAAACAGCAAUAUCUGGGGCACACCACUGGAGAAGUACCCAGGCUGCUGGGGAAGUAUCCAGGCCAACAGUUAGAAGAGUAGAUUAGGGGCCACUUCUUUGUAAUUGUCAAAGCCUAGUAAAAUGACCAUAGUCUGAGACUCAUUCCUUUGUAAACUAGUCUGGGAUAAGCUUAAAUUGGCUGUGCUAGACUUGGGUUUAUACAGGGUUGUUGCUAAAGCAAUCCAGACAGCUGUGUUUCAAUUACAACAAGAAUCUCUGCUCAGGGAUGCCCUCCUUGAAAGAGUUUCGCUCACAGCAGAGCCAUCACUGUGAAGACCAGGUGAGAUCCAGGGUGAGGCAGGGUUAGUUCUCACUGAAAUGACUCACACACUCAUUGAGACACUUUUGUCAAAACUAGGAUGAGUCCUUGAUGGGUAGGAGCAGGAUCCUGAGGUUUCAUGACAUCUGAUUAAAGUGCAAAGCAAUGAUUUCUUUAACAUGAUGUUGUAGGGUGCUUUUCCUGGGGAGACAAGCCGUAGGCAUCUGUUUAGCCCAGAUAAAGAGCCAACAAAUGUUAUAUUAUUAAGCAGCUAUAGAGAGAUAGAAGGCAGAAAGGAGGAGGCUUGAUCUGACCUUAGGUGGGACCAUGUUUAUUUGUGGUGAAGGACACUUUGUCACCCUUACAUGUGCAGACGGCCAAAAUGCCUGCAGAAGAAGAUGGGCGAUAGGCUUUUUCUCUCCUUCGGCGAGACCGAUAUAGGACAGAUUAAAAUAGAUAAAGGCAGGUUUAUUAGAUGGUGGUCCCAAAGAAUGGGGCUGAGGAAGUUAUGCAUGUACGCUAGGAAGGAAACAGUUUAUUGACUGUAGGCAAUGGGUGAUGAUGUGUCAGCCAUAAGUUAUGUUUGUACCAAGUACGGUUAAGAGCUGAGCACUUAGGCAGGGAUUUGGGUGCUGGCAGCAUCAGGAGAGGAGGUUCUGAUAGCUGCCAAGAAGGCAGAAUUGGGCUCUUGGAGUCAUUCCUUGUUAUGAGGUGGGUGUGGAGGAAGGAGGGUGGAUGGGGUUUUCCAGCUUAUGCAGCGGCAAGCAGGGGUUCCAGCCUAAUAGAAGGUGACCCCUUAUAGAAAUUGAAAUGACUGACUUCUGGAAGGGAAGGUGGGAAUCAUAAUAUUUCAGCAGGAAUGAUAAGAAAGGGAGUAAAUAACAAUUAUAAUGCAGUCCAAUUUGGCAAACCAUACAUUUAUUGGGGUUACAUGCAGGCACAUGGGUGACUCAAAAGGCAUUUGUACUUCUGAAAUGCAUGGAUAAUGACUCACAAAAGCUACAUCCCUGGAGCUCUGUGCACAGCUGACAGGUCAAAGACAGUUUCCUCUAACCAGCUUACCUAGCUAAGAGUCUCCCCCCUCAACAGGUGUUCACUGCCUCCUAAACCUAGGGAAGAGGCUCUGUAUAUUUUGUCAAUCUCAGGAACUUCCUGAAACUUGCCAGUUGUUUACUUCCUUCCUGGCCUUCCCAGAGGGAGUGUUUCAACUUAGAACUUCCUAAGUCUUAAGGAGGCUUCCUCCAGGAAACUGAUUUAACUUGAAUUGCUAUAGAAUACACAGAGAGUGUUGAGCUGAGACUUAGUAUUUAUACAAUCAUCAAGGGUGAAUAAUCUGAAGUCGGGAAGUGCCUGCAGCACGAGAGAUAUACUGUCUACACUGGUGACUCCUUCAGAAUGCAGUUAUAUCAUUAGAUCUUCUGAUAAUUCUAGUCAUUGCAUUGCUCUGAGUUCAUAGCUUGGUAAAGACGGCACAGCAGGGUACAGAGUCUUAUCUAAGCAGCUCGCAUCUGUUUCCCUAUUUGAUCAGCAAAGAACGCUAGGAACAGAGGUGACAUCAUCCCAUUGUUUCAGAUGAGGAAGUCGAGUCCCAGGGAGGAUGAUUUAACUGGUCAUGGAGCAGGACUGAAGCCAGGUAGUGAGGCUUCAGAGCUGAGUGCUAAGCUACUUUACUGGUCAAAUCCUUCAUCACAGCAACAUGCUGGACUGCAGUCCCAGUCUGUGGAUGACUCUACGGACUUACUUUGUACAUUCUAUGUUCCAUGUGCCACAAAAUGUCUGCCAGUUGUUGGCUCUGUAAGCAGUUGGUGUGCUGUGGAUGUGACUGACUGAAUCAUCUGUUGUCUGUGCCUUGGACUACUCACUGCCUGACCCUACCUACCCUUGAGGGUUGGAGGUGAGGUGGCGCAAAGACAACAGCACAGACUCUGGGAGCAGGUGAGAAACACCAUAAGCUCAUCUGAGCACUGCUGCAAGCUCCUUUAACACCCUCCAUCCAAACCCCAUUGAUCCCAAGAAAGCAUCUCUUCUAAAUAGCAGUUCCUGUGUGGCUGGCGUUGUCUGCAUCUCUCAGGCAGUCCUCAAUUAGGUCCUUCCACAGGAGAUAAUUUUGUGGCUGCAUAACCCCUUGCUCUGCAUUUACAUAGAGGCAGCCCUGCUGUUCCUGCUACAGUCAUCUUUGAAGGAAGACAUAAAUGCAAACACAUGGAAGGAAAUAAGGCAGAGGGAACCCUAAGAAGUUUCCACAGAAUAUGCAAAGAUUCCUUGUCAAGAGGAAGCAUGGCCAGCAAGAAGGAAGUCAGAGGAUUCAAGUGACCUUGGAAUCUCAAGGUCAAUGACACUUCUGUGCGGAAAGCACAGGUAGUUUGGAAUUCAUUGUAAUUGUUAAGUUUUUUUUUUUUAAAAAAUAUAUAUUUUAAGGAAUAAAUUCUGAAUUAUUGUGUGAUGCCCAAACUGAGUUCCACUAUCCCCAGUUUGCUCCACAUAGUCAGGGGAUUAUUUGCCUGACUUAACAUUUGAAUGUUAAAUCCUGCCUUGUAUACUUUACAAAUUUUUCAAAAGAUUCAGGUAUUUUAGAAAUGAUAUUGACCCUCCCUACAGUACCUUGCCCUGAGGUACGCCAGUCAAACAUUAUCAAAAAAUAGUGAGGUAUCCAAAGGGAAGAUUGGGAACGGAAAAGCAAUUGCAGCCAGUUCUUUUCUCAAAAGUGAGUGGUGCUGAGACCCCCUCUAAAGAAUGGAGAAGCACUUUUAUACUCUGAGUUACCGCUGCUCUGAGACGCCCCUGGAAUUCCUCAGGAGGGGAAGCCGGCUUGUUCUUUCUCUAGCUGUUAAAAUAGGUCAGGGCGCGUGAUUAUUUGAGCAUCUCUAUUUCUCUUAUUCUAUUCUACACUUUCCCAGUGUGCUUGCGUCUCUCCUGGGGGACCACAGGGAAAACAAAAAUGUCUACUGAGCAGUUUUUCCUCAGAAAUAAUAUCACAAAUAUAAAAUGUAUCCUGCCAUGAACUCACCAGCAGGGGAGGCAAGUUGGAGAGGCAACAUUCCAUCAGAACUCCUCAGGAACCACCAAGGAUAAUAGUCUCAGGAGGGAAGCCAGGAAGUGGCCUUGGAGGGAUGUGAAUUAAUGAGGAAGAGGCAUUGCACAGAACCGCCACACCCCACGCCCCUGCACACCAUGCACACUGCCUUUUACUUCUGCAGAUGGCUUCCGUCCCCAGGUGGAGUUUUUAGGUGUGAUGGCAGGCCCAUGGGAUGCAGGUGUCUGAUGGGGACAGUUAAGAUGUCUAGUAUAAAAGAUUGGGACACCAUUGAGAUUGCGGAUAUAUGGCUUCUAUGGGCAGCUUUCAUGUGACAUAUUCUCCUGAUAGUGGCGAGAGACAGAGAUAGAGAGGUGUGUGUGUGUGUGUGUGUGUGUGUGUGUGUGUGUGUGUGUGUGUGUGAGAAUGGGUUGUGUGUGCAGAACUGUUUGUCCAUAUGUGUGUAUGCUACAGAGCUCUGUGUGUGCUUGCAUAUAUUUUCAUGUGUGUGUGUGUGUGUGUAUGUGUAUUUGUCUGUGUGUUCACACAUACAUGCUGCAGAGCUGCCUGUGCAUGUGUACAAGCAUGCAUGCAUCUGUGCAUGUGCGUGUGCGUGCGUGUGUGUG